GGGAAUAUUGGACAAUGGGGGAAACCCUGAUCCAGCGAUGCCGCGUGUGUGAAGAAGGCCUGCGGGUUGUAAAGCACUUUCAGUGGGGAGGAGGGCUUAAAGGUUAAGAGCUAUUAAGUUGGACGUUACCCACAGAAGAAGCACCGGCUAACUCCGUGCCAGCAGCCGCGGUAAUACGGAGGGUGCGAGCGUUAAUCGGAAUUACUGGGCGUAAAGGGUGUGUAGACGGUUUGAUAAGUUAAGUGUGAAAGACCUGGGCUUAACCUGGGGGUGUCACUUAAGACUGUUAGACUUGAGUAUGGGAGAGGGUAGUGGAAUUUCCGGUGUAGCGGUGAAAUGCGUAGAGAUCGGAAGGAACACCAGUGGCGAAGGCGGCUACCUGGCCCAAUACUGACGUUGAGGCACGAAAGCGUGGGGAGCAAACAGGAUUAGAUACCCUGGUAGUCCACGCUGUAAACGAUGUCAACUAGCUGUUGGACUUAUAAAUUAAGUUAAGUGGCGACGCAA
Molecule: ribosomal RNA, 507 nt
Filed under: uncultured bacterium
Lineage: Bacteria
Description: bacterial SSU rRNA
Rfam family: Bacterial small subunit ribosomal RNA
Source: RNAcentral